Molecule: unclassified non-coding RNA, 249 nt
Filed under: Microdochium sp.
Lineage: Eukaryota; Fungi; Ascomycota; Sordariomycetes; Xylariales; Microdochiaceae
Description: partial contains 5.8S ribosomal RNA, internal transcribed spacer 2, and large subunit ribosomal RNA
Source: RNAcentral
CGCACAUUGCGCCCAUUAGUAUUCUAGUGGGCAUGCCUGUUCGAGCGUCAUUUCAACCCUUAAGCCUAGCUUAGUAUUGGGAGACUACUUAAACCGUAGCUCCUUAAAGUCAGUGGCAGAGUCUAGGUGUGCUCUGAGCGUAGUAAUUCUUUAUCUCGCUUCUGUAAGCCGCCUAUGGCGAUCGCCAUAAGCCUUAUUUAUUUUAGAAAUGUUGACCUCGGAUCAGGUAGGAAUACCCGCUGAACUUAA